Molecule: ribosomal RNA, 660 nt
Filed under: Henriciella marina
Lineage: Bacteria; Pseudomonadati; Pseudomonadota; Alphaproteobacteria; Hyphomonadales; Hyphomonadaceae
Description: bacterial SSU rRNA
Rfam family: Bacterial small subunit ribosomal RNA
Source: RNAcentral
GAGUAACGCGUGGGAACGUACCCUUCACUACGGAAUAGCUUCUGGAAACGGAAGGUAAUACCGUAUACGCCCUCCGGGGGAAAGAUUUAUCGGUGAAGGAUCGGCCCGCGUUAGAUUAGUUUGUUGGUGGGGUAAUGGCCUACCAAGACUACGAUCUAUAGCUGGUCUGAGAGGAUGAUCAGCCACACUGGGACUGAGACACGGCCCAGACUCCUACGGGAGGCAGCAGUGGGGAAUCUUGCACAAUGGGCGAAAGCCUGAUGCAGCCAUGCCGCGUGAAUGAUGAAGGCCUUAGGGUUGUAAAAUUCUUUCGCCAGGGAUGAUAAUGACAGUACCUGGUAAAGAAGCCCCGGCUAACUUCGUGCCAGCAGCCGCGGUAAUACGAAGGGGGCUAGCGUUGUUCGGAAUUACUGGGCGUAAAGCGCGCGUAGGCGGGCUAUUAAGCCAGAUGUGAAAGCCCGGAGCUCAACUCCGGAAUUGCAUUUGGAACUGGUAGCCUAGAGACCAGGAGAGGUUAGCGGAAUACCGAGUGUAGAGGUGAAAUUCGUAGAUAUUCGGUGGAACACCAGUGGCGAAGGCGGCUAACUGGACUGGUACUGACGCUGAGGCGCGAAAGUGUGGGGAGCAAACAGGAUUAGAUACCCUGGUAGUCCACACCGU